UACGUAGGGGGCAAGCGUUGUCCGGAUUUACUGGGCGUAAAGGGCGUGCAGGCGGUUUGUUAAGUGCAGGGUGAAAGCCCCCGGCUCAACUGGGGAGGGUCAUUCGAUACUGAUCGACUCGAAGGCAGGAGAGGGUAGUGGAAUUCCCGGUGUAGUGGUGAAAUGCGUAGAUAUCGGGAGGAACACCAGUGGCGAAGGCGACUACCUGGCCUGUUCUUGACGCUGAGGCGCGAAAGCUAGGGGAGCAAACGGG
Molecule: ribosomal RNA, 253 nt
Filed under: uncultured bacterium
Lineage: Bacteria
Description: partial 16S ribosomal RNA
Rfam family: Bacterial small subunit ribosomal RNA
Source: RNAcentral